UCACAAAAGCCCAAAUUCUUGAAGGCGAUGCCCAAUAAGCAAAUUCCCAGCCCAAUCAAGAAAUCCACCCAUACUUAGUUGAAAAUCAGGCCAAAUUGUCAAAGUGGCCCAAGUUGUAAAGUUUUAUUUUUAUUUAUUUAUUUUAUUUAGUUUAAAUUUUUAUAUUCAGUCCAAGAGUCCCAAAUAAAAGACCCUUGGCCGAAUUUCCAUAUUAAAAUAAUUAGGAGUUUUUUUUAGUUUUAGUUUUAGUGUUCUAAUUAAAUUAGGAAAACAUUUGAAAGGCCUAUUUAUAUGGCUUGGCCAGCCACCCUACAUGACAUUACAAUUACAUUGAAAAUUUCAGAUUUAAUUUGAG
RNAcentral lists this long non-coding RNA (355 nucleotides) under Gossypium barbadense (sea-island cotton). Its description in RNAcentral is "long non-coding RNA (GBAR_LNC010526)". The record is from RNAcentral. Lineage: Eukaryota; Viridiplantae; Streptophyta; Magnoliopsida; Malvales; Malvaceae.